This is a long non-coding RNA of Equus caballus (horse), 1985 nucleotides long. Lineage: Eukaryota; Metazoa; Chordata; Mammalia; Perissodactyla; Equidae. The record is from Ensembl.
GUUGAAGUCUUUAGUAGUAAAUUGGCCUCGUUUUUCUCUGCCUUGCUAGUGGAAUGCCCCUCCACAGGGGAACCUGAACCAGCUUCUUUGUACUACAGUUCCUCCUGGCACCUGCGCGUCCGAAAGAACGCAGCCCGCGCACUUGCACAGAAUAAGUAGGAAAUUCUCUCCACCCCAGUAACUUUCGUGACCACACUUGUUUCACAGCAUACUUACUGCAGCGCAGAGGUACAGGAAGUUGACUUACUCACCUACUUCUGUGUGCGCGGCGGCCAUGAAACAGGCCUAAGAGUGCCAGUCGUCAGCGUGAUGGAACCAUGUUUCCCAGCAGUCUGGCAGACAUGCCGACAUCGACCUGCUGUUGUGCCCAAACAGGUAAAGACUUUUCUGAACUUGUGUACUCAUCCUCUCUUGCACUUGACGUCCUCUACUUCCCUGUCCCUGGGAUUCCCACCUCAGCUGUCUGAACCACGCUCCUUUUUCGUCGUCAUCUCACUUCUGACUUUUCCUCCUCUUGUCUCUCUCCUUGUUCUCUGUGCUCUCCUGGGUCAUCUGAUUGCUCUUGUAGCGUUAAUAGCCCCUUGCAUGCUGACCAGUCUUAACUUCUGUGUCUAGUCUGGAUUCUCCCCAGAGCUCUAAGUCCACAUCCUCUGUUCCAGAUAGCCCAACUCAGUGUCCAUGGGCCCCUCGGCCUCACUGCUCCUCCCUGGCGCCUUCCCUCCUCUGUCCCAGCCCUCUUCCACUCCAGCAGUCGCUCCCUCACCCGUCUCAGCCACUUGCUCGGGUUGGAAUCUGGAAGUGGUCUUUGAGUCCUCUCGCUCCGUAAUCCUCCGUGGGCAGCCACCAAGCCCUGACGAGUUUACCUCAGGAGUGUUUCUCAACCAGCUUUUCUCUGUUCCUGCUUCUGCCGUCCUCGGGCAGGCCCUGCUCUCUCUCACCUAAACCCCUGCCAACCAGCUGCUCUACCUGCCUCCUGUCUCCCUUCCACAGGGCGCUCCUGAACUUUCCCAGCAUCUCUCCCCUGUUCAAACUUGAGGGCCUCUGGGGCCUCGGGAUGGACCAGCUCCUCGGCAAGGCGUUCCUCAACCUUCUGGCCUCACUUUCUGUCCUCCCGCCUCCCCCCAGACCUACACACCCUGCCAGUUCAUACCUUGGUUCUUCGCUGUUCAUUUUCCUCCUCCUGACAUGGCCUUUCCCACCUCCUCCGACUUUAAAACAGCCCAGGUGAUAGUCAGGGAGGCUUUCUUUGGAAGGGUGUUUCCAUACGUGCCUCUGAACUGCCGGCAUUGUUCUUACAUUAUGAUGAAAGUGGCUGUUAAUGGCUCUGCUUUCCCACAUUCGUUCAUUCUUUGAGGGCAGGGACAGUGUCUCGGUUUGCCUCCUGUUCCCAGAGGGAACCUGGGCCAACCCGGUGCACAGCGGGCCCUCCCCGAGCACACACGUUUGGCGAUGCUGUCAGCCGGGUGUCCUCCUCCACUCCUCUGCAUGUAAAGUCCAGAAUCCUUAGCUGGGCUUUAAGGAGACAAGGCAAAGCAGAAAAAAUGAGAGCUUUGAAAUCAGACACACCUGGAUUUGCAUAUUUGUUGCACCAUUUUUAGCUAAGUGAUCAUAGCAUGUAGCAGGUGCUCAGCGAACGGCCUCAUCGAUCACUGUUCUCUCUGUCCAUCCGUCCUGCUGCAUGCCGACCCUCCACCCGGUGCAGCCUCAUAGACGUUUCCUGGUUGGUGAGUCCACCCCUUCCUUUUCCAAGCCUUCCUCCCGCUCUUCAGAUCCUGCCUCCGGGCGCACCUGAGAGCCUCCAGGUAGAAAUGAUCCGCUCCCUGGGCUCCACAGCAGGUAACAGUCCUUGCUACACAGUUAGCUGGUUUUGUUGUAAUUGCUGAUAGAUAGUUCCUGGAUUGGAAGCUUCUGGAAGGCAAGGAUGUCUCUUCUACUUUUCUGUAGCUCUCCCUGCUUCUGAGAGCUUGGGGCCUGGAAGAUACGGA